Long non-coding RNA from Vicia villosa (hairy vetch), 671 nucleotides. RefSeq lists it as uncharacterized. The transcript is spliced from 5 exons. NCBI's taxonomy places the organism in Eukaryota, Viridiplantae, Streptophyta, Magnoliopsida, Fabales, Fabaceae. The record is from RefSeq and is a predicted model, not a curated record.
UUCUUCUUCCUUCUUCUCACUUUUCCUCUUUUUCCUUCUUCCUGUUUUUAUUAUUCUUCCCUCUUUCCUUCUUAUCACUCUGAUCCAUAUGAUUUACAGGUAUUUGUGGCUACAACAUAUUACUCGGUCCUAAGAACAAAUGAGUCAUGGAUGCAUCAUGUUUUUCUACUAUGGAGAGACUAAGACUAAUUAUGUUUCUAUUUGUUGAACUAGAGGAAUUGAUUGAAGCUUUCGAGAACACUCAGUUUGUGAAAAUUUGCAUAUGCUCAUGGAGCCAAUUUAUUUCAAAAGUAUAACUACAUGGCACUCUUAAUCAACGCAGGAUACCAGCCAACAAUUGUCCGUAAAUUGAUGCAGGUUUGUGCAGUUCCCAACAUUGCUUCAAAGUGUCUUCAAUAUGGUUUGGAGAUAACAUGUCAUAUAAUCCCUGUUGUUCCAGCCGGUUUGUGAGAUGUGCAAGCUGCGAAAACGGCUGACCAAUAACCUCUAGCACAUGUAUGAAAAUUGGAGAACAAACAAUAAGCUCAUUAGAUGAGAAUCGUCGGUGUUAGUGUUGAUUCUUCUGGAACACCCGCGUUGAGGAUGGCUAUGCAAACAAGGGAACAUCAUAUCCAUAUGGACAAGGCCACCAACAACAUUUGCAUUGCUCAGAUAACUUACUUUGUGUUGCA